This 254-nucleotide ribosomal RNA is filed under the name uncultured bacterium. RNAcentral describes it as "partial 16S ribosomal RNA". It matches the Rfam family "Bacterial small subunit ribosomal RNA", at positions 524 to 776 of the family's 1533-position model. The record is from RNAcentral.
UACGGGGGGAGCAAGCGUUGUUCGGAUUUACUGGGCGUAAAGGGCGCGUAGGCGGCCACCGCAAGUCGGUUGUGAAAUCUCCGGGCUUAACCCGGAAAGGUCAAUCGAUACUGCGGGGCUAGAGUGCAGAAGGGGCAACUGGAAUUCUCGGUGUAGCGGUGAAAUGCGUAGAUAUCAGGAGGAACACCAAUUGCGAAGGCAGCUCGCUGGGACGUUACUGACGCUGAGACGCGAAAGCGUGGGGAGCAAACAGG